UUGACUCACUGUGCCUGUCAGAAGCCCCUUUAUACUGCUGGCAGCUGGCGUGCUAAGGAGUUUGUGCUUCGACAUUCCUGAAUUUCAACUGCCUUCAGAUCUGUGUAAUAAGGAAGCACUUCAAGGAUGAUAUGAAUUUGAGUCACAUGUCCAAAGGAGUCAUUCCAUUGCCCUUCUCUGAUUCAUCACCAUUCCAGUCGGGAAAGCUCAGGACCAAAAGUCAGGAGAUCCGGGUAGUAUUCCUGUCCCUGUUCCUGAUUUGCUGCAUGAUCUCUGAGUUCAUCUGACCAGGGUAAAAGCUAUAUUUGAUUAGAUUCUUUCCCCUGGACCGUAAUCAAGAUUCCACCAUCCACCUCCGAAUGGACCACAGCAUGCCUCCUCCAUCUCCUGAUCCUCCAAUUUCUGCUUGCUUGUCAUCUGAUGCCAAGAGUUCUGAAUCAGAUAUUCAGAGAAGACACAAGAGUGUUCAAAUACGAGUGAUAGACGUGGGUAUCAGAUACCCGAAUGAGUGGCACAAGACUUUUGCUAUGCUCCUCUAUGCUGGAUGCUCUUUGUUAUUAUCAUCUUCCGUCGUCCUUUUUUUCAACAACUGGUCCUCAGCAAAAUAUGUGAUCUCGCCAUUCCCAGAUCUAAUUUCCACAUAUAUUGGACAUGCUGACUGGGCUUUUAAAGCCUCUGAAGUCAGCAGCCUCAUGCUGUUAAUACUGUGGUCCAUCCAGUGGUUUUUACUCCGAUACAAGUAGGCAUUUCAUUGACAUCAAUAGUUGCUGAGCCCUUAAAUAGCUAUUUAACAUUAUCAAAGUGCCACCUUAAUUAAUCAAUUAAACCUCCCAAUCCCACUGCCAUGUAUGUAAGGAAGCAUCAAUCCCUGUUUUACAUAUGAGGACAGGGAAGGAGACGGAGAGAUUACGUGACUUGUGCAAAGCCAGACGGUGUAUCAGUGGCAAAGCCAGGAUUAGCUCCUUUGGGAGCUAGCCAGAGAAAAGGUGUGGCUAGGGCACCUGAGAGAUGCACUAAUUCAACAUUGCCCUACACAGCCUCCAGCAGCAAGGCACCUAUGGAAACACAACUACAAUUUAAAGCUACCCGCUCAAGGGAAAACUCUCAGGGAGAGCUCUGGUGCCAAUCUUAUUUGCCCUUCCUGUCACAUACAGCUUCCCUCACUGCUACAGGGCAGCAAACUAUACUCCCUUACACCAGCAGGCAGAAAAUCAAGCUUGUGAUGUCAAAGAAAACCUGUUUUGAUUGUAGCAGAUUUGCUAACCACCUCCUGAAAAUUUUGUUUGCAACCAACUUCUGUAAGAAUCCCAUACUCACCGUUUAGCUGCUUCUAGACGAGUGUGUUUGUAGCACUGGAGAUUGGAUCAUUUCAUAAUUUUCCCUCCAG
Long non-coding RNA from Mauremys reevesii (Reeves's turtle), 1387 nucleotides. RefSeq lists it as uncharacterized. The record is from RefSeq and is a predicted model, not a curated record. NCBI's taxonomy places the organism in Eukaryota, Metazoa, Chordata, Testudines, Geoemydidae. The transcript is spliced from 3 exons.